This 687-nucleotide ribosomal RNA is filed under the name uncultured bacterium. Its description in RNAcentral is "bacterial SSU rRNA". It matches the Rfam family "Bacterial small subunit ribosomal RNA", at positions 62 to 760 of the family's 1533-position model. The record is from RNAcentral.
UCGAACGAAGCAGAAGGAUGCUUGCAUCUUUUUGACUGAGUGGCGGACGGGUGAGUAACGUGUGGAGAACCUACCUUACACAGGGGGAUAACGGCUGGAAACGGCUGCUAAUACCGCAUAAGCAUACAGCUUCGCAUGAAGCCGUGUGAAAAGAAAAAUCGGUGUAAGAUGGCUCCGCAUCUGAUUAGCUAGUUGGUGAGGUAAUGGCUCACCAAGGCAACGAUCAGUAGCCGGCCUGAGAGGGCGACUGGCCACAUUGGGACUGAGACACGGCCCAGACUCCUACGGGAGGCAGCAGUGGGGAAUCUUGCACAAUGGGGGAAACCCUGAUGCAGCAACGCCGCGUGAGCGAAGAAGUAUUUCGGUAUGUAAAGCUCUAUCAGCAGGGAAUAGAAAAGAAGGUACCUGACUAAGAAGCCCCGGCUAACUACGUGCCAGCAGCCGCGGUAAUACGUAGGGGGCAAGCGUUAUCCGGAUUUACUGGGUGUAAAGGGAGCGUAGACGGCUGUUUAAGUCAGAAGUGAAAGCCCAUUGCUUAACGAUGGGACUGCUUUUGAAACUAAGGAGCUAGAGUGCAGGAGAGGUAAGUGGAAUUCCUAGUGUAGCGGUGAAAUGCGUAGAGAUUAGAAGGAACACCAGUGGCGAAGGCGGCUUACUGGACUGUAACUGACGUUGAGGCUCGAAAGC